RNAcentral lists this non-coding RNA (156 nucleotides) under unclassified sequences. RNAcentral's name for it is "RT-14 RNA". It matches the Rfam family "RT-14 RNA". From Rfam's summary of the family: Cloacimonetes, Firmicutes, Proteobacteria. Nearby to self-splicing intron genes The record is from Rfam by way of RNAcentral.
CUCUAAUACAAAUUUUUCAGAUUAUAUAUUUUAAGGAAUAUAUACAGUAAAAGUAUUAGUAUUAAAGAAACCUAUUCCUUCCUAAGUAAAAGUAGGUAAAUAAGAAUCAGCAAUUUAUGUAUUAGUAGAAAUAUAUUUUGAAUAUAUGUAAAUUGC